This 690-nucleotide long non-coding RNA is filed under the name Mytilus galloprovincialis (Mediterranean mussel). Lineage: Eukaryota; Metazoa; Mollusca; Bivalvia; Mytilida; Mytilidae. The record is from RNAcentral.
ACAUAUUAUAACGCUGCCUCCCUGGUGUUAGAGUCGGACACCAGAGAUAACAGGUUACAAAUAAAAGGGAUUUCUUUAACUGGUAUGGUUUAUAUUACUAUAAGAUGUAUGGCCCGACGUCUAAUUGGAAUACCGUCGAACCAACACACUUUACAGCUUCGUUAACCUAGUAGACUCUAGAGGUCUAUCAAUAUAAUUAUUAUUUAUAAAUAAAAGACAAAACAUAUAAAACUUGUGAUCAUUUAUUUAACAAUCUUAAAAUGUCAGAGAGAAUGGCUGUGAAGGCUCUAGCUGUUUCUGGUUUGGUUGGGUUCCUGGUAUGGUUGGUCUAACUAAUUAAAUAUAUAUAUAUACACACAUAUAUAUAACAAUCCAGAGUAUAACCACUCUGUAGAUUCAGUCGACUAGUUUAAAAACUAUCAUUAGCAUAUAGCUCAUUCAGGCGUACAAAGGGUCUCAAUAAAAGAACACCUAUAAAAUUAUGUAGCCUUAAUUCAACAACAUCUGUUUAAAAUAACCAUCUGUAUAUAAAUACUAGUGGUUAUUAUCGUCACCAAGACAUAUAUAUUUCUUUGACUAAUUAAAACUAUAGGUAUAAUUUACCCUCUACAUAUAUUGUCACCAACUAUUACCACCCAAACUGAGUCACCGAGAUUUACUCCCAGCUUCUCCCAAAUUCGUCUCCUUAUU